AAUACCCUGUAUAACUGAAAUCUUAAUACUUGAGACAUUAGUAGGUUAUAUGGGGUAUU
This 59-nucleotide non-coding RNA is filed under the name Clostridium botulinum CDC66177. Its description in RNAcentral is "DUF3800-VIII RNA". It matches the Rfam family "DUF3800-VIII RNA". From Rfam's summary of the family: Bacteroidetes, Cyanobacteria, Firmicutes, Planctomycetes (1 example), Proteobacteria, Tenericutes (1 example). Nearby to DUF3800 Lineage: Bacteria; Bacillati; Bacillota; Clostridia; Eubacteriales; Clostridiaceae. The record is from Rfam by way of RNAcentral.